GACUCUGUAGUGAAAUUCAUGUUGAGUUGCAAGCUCAUUGAUAUACGUUAAAAGCGUGUCAGGGUCU
RNAcentral lists this transfer RNA (67 nucleotides) under Syrrhaptes paradoxus (Pallas's sandgrouse). RNAcentral's name for it is "tRNA-Cys". The record is from RNAcentral. Lineage: Eukaryota; Metazoa; Chordata; Aves; Pterocliformes; Pteroclidae.